This 1795-nucleotide long non-coding RNA is filed under the name Arachis ipaensis. RNAcentral's name for it is "long non-coding RNA (AIPA_LNC000378)". Lineage: Eukaryota; Viridiplantae; Streptophyta; Magnoliopsida; Fabales; Fabaceae. The record is from RNAcentral.
CCAUGACUGGCGCUCAGGAAAAUAAUCCUAUAGCAAGCCUAACAUAGUCAAAUAUAAGUUCAAUAAGCAAGUACAAAUAUUUUACAAGUUCUAAAAUAAAUAGUUAUAUAUUUUUAACAAAAAAUUAAAAUAACUAAGAAUGGUUGGUCCUGCCUGUGACAUAUGGAGCAUAUACUUCUAGGAAUUCGACAAAGAAUAGGUACUCAUUGCAGACCGUUACUCUUGAAUAGAAAGUCUCACACAGUCAAAUAUUUGUUCCUGAAAAAUAUUUUUAGAAAAAUGGGGUGAGUUUUGCAACUCAGUGACCAGACAAUACAUCUAUAAUCAACAUGAGACUAUACAAACAUUAUCAUUAAAGUAAUUUUAAUUAGAAAAUAAUAGUUGAUAAUAAUAAGUGAAUCAAUAAGGGAGCUCUCAUACAGAAAUCAAAUCAAAAGUCCACACUUGGGCGGCUCCACCUCUAUGGGUAGCCCUUUCCUCUUGUGUGUCCUAACAGAAUAACAGAUCUAACGUGUGGCCUACACGUUAGGCUAGCAACACCCCUGCUAGCUGGAGUCUGAGUUAGAUGCAUCUAAGUUAACGUCAUAACCGACGUUAACUACGGUUUUCUAAUACGAGCCUCCCAAACCAAUUCAAAACAUAUAAUUUCAAAUACAACAAAUAUUUGAUCUUUCAAAUAUAUAAGGUAUCGAAUCGAAUCGAAUCAAAUCAAAUUAAAUCAUACUUUUUCAUCAGAAAUCUUUUCUCAAUCAUACUUUUUCAACCAUAAGAGAUUUCAAAUAUAUUUCACAAUUUUUAGAGUGAGUAUCAACAAAUACUUCAAUGCUUCAAAAACAAAUAUUCAAAUAAAAUCAAACAUUUUAGAAUAAUGCAAAACUUCAUCAAAAAUAUAUAUAGUCUCAUGUAUAGUUUCCAAAAGUAUAAACUUCAUAAAAAUGAGUUAUUUAAUUCUAAUAAAUCAAUUAUUUUAAUCAAUUCAAAACUGUUCAAAGCAAAUAUAGCUAUAAUUCAAAGAUCAUAAUAUAUAUAUAUCAAAAUAAUUGUAGAUGCACAAUCAAACAAUCAUAAAUGUAAAGCCUACUCACAACGUAGUCCCUAGGGACCGAAGAUACCAAACCCAGAGUGCCAAAUUCAAGGUAAGGAGGAUUGAAGUGGAAUGGAACGAAUGAGCAUAGAAUUUGAACCGGAGUAGCGACAAGAUAGAGCUGGCUAUAGUUCUCGAUUGUUAAAACUAUAAUCCAAACGCGCCGACGGAACCUUUCCUCUCAACCCGAAAUUGCGGCAGCCACAACCUCAGCUCCAAAUCACUUUCUCAGCAACUACAACGACUCGGACUUAAGGAAAACAAGUAGCGGCAGCACCGGUGGUGGUUCCGGCAACAACAGCACCAUACCCAUUGACUAGAAACCCCGACAGCGGCGGCGGCAGAAGAACGGUGACCUCAAUGUGACUUUCCAGCGGCCAGAGGUGCAGUGGCUCUUGCGGCAGCAGCGAGCCACUCCAGCAACCCCUUGUGCAAGCUCUCUUCCUCCGGCAGCGACCUAGACGGCGACGACUCUCCACGGACGGCGGCGGGCCUUCGGCGGCGGUGCAGCUCCAGUGACGACGGUGCAUGGCGGGACAGCGUUCCUCUCUUCCUCGAGCUCUCCCUCUCACUGGCGCUCAAGGACGACGGCGAGGGUGGCUUCAAUGGCGGCGGUUGCAGCUCGCGACGACAGAGACACUCCUCCGCGACGGCGCAGUUGGCAACGAUGGGCAUGAACGGCAGCAGCGACCUCCCUCUCUUCUCCGCAUC